This 274-nucleotide ribosomal RNA is filed under the name uncultured bacterium. Its description in RNAcentral is "partial 16S ribosomal RNA". It matches the Rfam family "Bacterial small subunit ribosomal RNA", at positions 523 to 796 of the family's 1533-position model. The record is from RNAcentral.
AUACGUAGGAUUCGAGCGUUGUCCGGAUUUACUGGGCGUAAAGGGUGCGUAGGCGGCGCGGUAAGUCUCAUGUGAAAUCUCCCGGCUUAACUGGGAGGGGUCAUGGGAAACUGCCAUGCUCGAGGGCAGCAGAGGAGAGCGGAAUUCCGGGAGUAGCGGUGAUAUGCGUAGAUACCCGGAGGAACACCCGUGGCGAAAGCGGCUCUCUGGGCUGUACCUGACGCUAAGGCACGAAAGCGUGGGGAGCAAACCGGAUUAGAAACCCCGGUAGUCC